GAUGAACGCUGGCGGCGUGCCUAAUACAUGCAAGUCGAGCGAACGGACGAGAAGCUUGCUUCUCUGAUGUUAGCGGCGGACGGGUGAGUAACACGUGGAUAACCUACCUAUAAGACUGGGAUAACUUCGGGAAACCGGAGCUAAUACCGGAUAAUAUUUUGAACCGCAUGGUUCAAAAGUGAAAGACGGUCUUGCUGUCACUUAUAGAUGGAUCCGCGCUGCAUUAGCUAAUUGGUAAGGUAACGGCUUACCAAGGCAACGAUGCAUAGCCGACCUGAGAGGGUGAUCGGCCACACUGGAACUGAGACACGGUCCAGACUCCUACGGGAGGCAGCAGUAGGGAAUCUUCCGCAAAGGGCGAAAGCCUGACGGGGCAACGCCGCGUGAGUGAUGAAGGUCUUCGGAUCGUAAAACUCUGUUAUUAGGGAAGAACAUAUGUGUAAGUAACUGUGCACAUCUUGACGGUACCUAAUCAGAAAGCCACGGCUAACUACGUG
RNAcentral lists this ribosomal RNA (497 nucleotides) under uncultured bacterium. Its description in RNAcentral is "partial 16S ribosomal RNA". It matches the Rfam family "Bacterial small subunit ribosomal RNA", at positions 28 to 507 of the family's 1533-position model. The record is from RNAcentral.